RNAcentral lists this long non-coding RNA (784 nucleotides) under Ananas comosus (pineapple). Its description in RNAcentral is "long non-coding RNA (ACOM_LNC024707)". Lineage: Eukaryota; Viridiplantae; Streptophyta; Magnoliopsida; Poales; Bromeliaceae. The record is from RNAcentral.
GUUGACAAAAAAAAUUAUGUAAUAAGCGGACCCAUUGUACUAGUAACUCGUUGGGCUCAAACUAUUGACUCCAAAUACUUAAGCCCAGUUAUUAAUUUUAAUUUUCCAAUUAAAUAGAAUCCCCUCGCACUUACCCAUGUUAUGUUAUUUGAUGUUGGACUAUUGGAAUGUCUUCUCCCAUUUUAGACUCAUUUCACACUUUUGACUAGUAAAUCGCUUUUGAUUUUAGGCCCACCUCAUACCCUUUCGGCUGAUAAAUUGAUCAAAAGUAAAUCGGCUUUGCUACCAAUUAUAAUGGCCUAGUUUGCAUACUUCCUCCAUUUCAAGCCCACCUCACACACUUUUGUUUCAUAAAUUAUCUCCUAUACCAAAUGUAACGAUCCAACUUACUAGUUUUUAACUGAUGUUGGACUAUUGGGGUGUCAUAUAUUUUCCUCCAUUGUAAACUCACCUUAUACUUUUGGCUGGAUAAAUCGGUUGCGAUACUAAUUCUAAUGAUCAUACUCAUAAGCAUUAAUAACUCGUUGGAUACAUAUCAUUGAUCCAAAAGGUUAUAAUCCAAUGAUUAGUUUUACUCUACUUUUCAAAUAUAAACUUUUUCAUAUUAACCGAUGUAGGACUAUUAAAGUGUCACAAAUUAAUAUUAGAAUGACAUAAAAGAGGAUUGUAAUCUAGUUUAACCUAUCGAAUCGCUAGUAUAGGGCCUGCUUCUAUUUUUUUCGGUGGAACUAUAAAACUUAUCGCUUAACCGAUUUAUUGUGAUAUGUUUAACAUAAUAUUAUUA